Molecule: ribosomal RNA, 578 nt
Filed under: uncultured Cortinarius
Lineage: Eukaryota; Fungi; Basidiomycota; Agaricomycetes; Agaricales; Cortinariaceae
Description: eukaryotic LSU rRNA
Rfam family: 5.8S ribosomal RNA (bases 165-318)
Source: RNAcentral
UGAAGUAAACCUGAUGGGUUGUUGCUGGUUCUCUAGGGAGCAUGUGCACGCCUUGUCAUCUUUAUAUCCCCCACCUGUGCACCUUUUGUAGACCUUUCAGGUCUAUGUUUGCUUCAUUUACCCCAUUGUAUGUUAAUAGAAUGUUGUGCCUAUAUAAUAUAUACAACUUUCAGCAACGGAUCUCUUGGCUCUCGCAUCGAUGAAGAACGCAGCGAAAUGCGAUAAGUAAUGUGAAUUGCAGAAUUCAGUGAAUCAUCGAAUCUUUGAACGCACCUUGCGCUCCUUGGUAUUCCGAGGAGCAUGCCUGUUUGAGUGUCAUUAAUAUCUAUAUCAAUCCCUCCUUCUUGUGUAGGAGUGGUUUGGAUUUGGGGGUUUUGCUGGCCUCUUAAAAAGGUUCAGCUCUCCUGAAAUGCAUUAGCAGAACAAUCCUUGUUCAUUGGCGUGAUAACUAUCUAUGCUAUUGAAUGUGAGGUGCAGUUCAGCUUUCUAACAGUCCUUUGGACAAAUUCAUCAUUAAUGUGACCUCAAAUCAGGUAGGACUACCCGCUGAACUUAAGCAUAUCAAUAAGCGGAGGAAA